Molecule: non-coding RNA, 354 nt
Organism: Pogona vitticeps (central bearded dragon)
Lineage: Eukaryota; Metazoa; Chordata; Lepidosauria; Squamata; Agamidae
Source: RefSeq, a predicted model, not a curated record
UGGCAGUUGAGAGGGAGUUCACGGCCAAGCUGAGGCUCAGCAUUGUCAAGACAGAUCUUCAUAACAGGAAUGUAUGAAGACUGGGAACUGUGUGUCAAAAACAGCUCCUAAUGGAAACUUAACAAGCAAUUUUAAAAGCAGCAGAACAUGAGAAUUGGGACAACUGCUGACCUAUUGAUGCACCAUUACCAGCUAGAAACUACUCCUCCCAUAUCAAUCAAGUAAAGUACAUUUCAUUAGUCUAGUAAAUACUGUACCGCUCAAUUGCCUUCUUCCUAUGUAAUUAAACAUAGCUGGUUUCCUUCUCCUUACUUAUUUGUCCUUAUCUUUCCUCUUGUUUAUUGCAAAUAAACU